UGGAAACGCUGACUCCGACUAACUUUCAAUCAAAGCAAUGAGGUCAGUUAAUUAAGCCACGCCCCUAAAUAUGCGAAAGUGUGUAAUAUGUGUGUGUGUAGUAAGUUUGGGUAUUAUUUUAUCUUAAUGUCCAAUGUGCAUAUAGAAGUACAUGAGCUACAUAUCCGAACAUGUUUCUGAAAGUGCUUUUUAAUAUGGAUUCUAAUGGGAUUCUUUACUUUUGCAGACAGCCUCAAGUGGACACUAGAGGAACUGCAGCUUCUCUUGUCAUCUGCUGAGUUUACAGCUUCUGCACACCCACACCAGCUUCCCACUGAGCAUUUUUUGGUCUAAAGAGGUCUAAUAGACGUCUAAAUGUAGUCUAGACGACUGGUCUAAAAUCAGGCUAACACAGGUCUAAAAAUGAAAGUUUUUUAGACGUCUAAAUUUAGACCAAGUCUAAAUCUGGGCUAUAUCCAUACUACACUGUAUAUUGCUCAA
Molecule: non-coding RNA, 480 nt
Organism: Xyrichtys novacula (pearly razorfish)
Lineage: Eukaryota; Metazoa; Chordata; Actinopteri; Labriformes; Labridae
Source: the annotation of a GenBank genome assembly